UAAAGAAGUACCUUAGAAUAGUUAUUUGAUGCCAUUGGGCAAAAGAUGUCUAUUAAAAUACAAAAACAAAGAACAACAAAAACUGUAAGCACAUAUUUUUGAAUCACUGUAAAUGCUCAGAAGCAUUUUUAUUGAGUGGAUUCACUCUUUUGUCAAAACCAAGCCUUCAGUUUUAAAGGUAUGUACUUUCAGAGAUGAUCUGUAGAAACAUGUUCAUUGCAGGGUAAACCACACCCUGGUGCAGCGAGAUUUACAGCAUGCCUCAUUCACCAGGCAAUAAGAAGAGGAAAGAACAGCUCUAAAGUUUAAUCUAUUCUGUAGCGGAAAUAUUUAUGCACUGAUGUUCCCAAAUAUUUAGAAGAAUUUUCUGUGAAUUUUACUCAAGGGCAGCACAUGAGGCUAUUUUCUUCCCUCCUUUAAGGUUUUCCUCCAGAACCAGUUCUUCCCAUCAGUAGUUGCCAAGACAGAGGUACAGCUUCUUGAAGUGCUUAUUAAGCAGUUUACCAAGGGAAAAGAGGAGCAGGGGAUUCGUGGUCAACAAGAGCAGAGGAUGGAGAGAUGAUCUGAAAGAAUAACUAGAACAUUAAUCAGUGGGAUCUCCAGCACCCUUCCUCCCCAGAAGGAUUUUGACUGCUACACAGUUUGAGUUUUUGUGAGCACACCAGGAACAGAAUUUGGUAUAGCAGUUGAUCUGAAUCUGUGGCACAGAAGUGAGGGCAGCAGAAAGUAGCCCAGGGAGUCUGACACUCUCCCUCUUAUGAUGGCAUUGGAAAGUAUCCAGUCGUACCUGCUUUCUUCUGCAGAUCUCAAAGAUUCAUACGAAAGAAAACUGUCCAUCAUGAGAAGAGAGAAUGACGACAUGACCUUUAGGAAUAUCACCCACAUCAGGAAACCAUUAUGUCAGCUGAGUGAAGGUACAUUUCAUUGGUGCAUGAAUGGAAAUUUAAAAGGUUUGUCAUUAAAUAUUGGUGAAAAUGGAAACAUCAUCUAUGCUUUCAUCUUUACACGAUGAAUGCAGAUCAGACAAUUACAUUGAACCUCAUUACAAGGAAUGGUAUCGUGUAGCUAUUGAUGCUUUAAUUGAAGGAGGUUUAGAAGCCUACCAAGAAUUUCUU
RNAcentral lists this long non-coding RNA (1115 nucleotides) under Chrysemys picta bellii (western painted turtle). Its description in RNAcentral is "lncRNA (ENSCPBG00000022059.1)". Lineage: Eukaryota; Metazoa; Chordata; Testudines; Emydidae. The record is from RNAcentral.